RNAcentral lists this transfer RNA (71 nucleotides) under bacterium. RNAcentral describes it as "tRNA-His". It matches the Rfam family "tRNA". From Rfam's summary of the family: Transfer RNA (tRNA) molecules are approximately 80 nucleotides in length. The record is from RNAcentral.
GCGACUAUGGUGUAACGGUAGCACAGAAGUUUGUGGAGCUUCUGGAGAGGGUUCAACUCCCUCUAGUCGCC